AACGGCCAUACCAUGCUGAAUAUACCGGUUCUCGUUAGAUCACCGAAGUUAAGCCUUAUUGGGCCGGUCGGUACUUGGGUGGGUGACCACCUGGAAACACCGCGUGCCGUU
RNAcentral lists this ribosomal RNA (111 nucleotides) under Caerostris extrusa. Lineage: Eukaryota; Metazoa; Arthropoda; Arachnida; Araneae; Araneidae. The record is from RNAcentral.